GACGAACGCUGGCGGCGUGCUUAACACAUGCAAGUCGAACGAUGAAGCUAGAGCUUGCUCUGGUGAAUUAGUGGCGAACGGGUGAGUAACACGUGAGUAACCUGCCCCGAACUCUGGGAUAACUGCUGGAAACGGUAGCUAAUACUGGAUACGACCUACGAAGGCAUCUUCUGUAGGUGGAAAGAAUUUCGGUUCGGGAUGGACUCGCGGCCUAUCAGCUUGUUGGUGAGGUAAUGGCUCACCAAGGCGACGACGGGUAGCCGGCCUGAGAGGGUCACCGGCCAGACUGGGACUGAGACACGGCCCAGACUCCUACAGGAGGCAGCAGUGGGGAAUAUUGCACAAUGGGCGCAAGCCUGAUGCAGCAACGCCGCGUGAGGGAUGACGGCCUUCGGGUUGUAAACCUCUUUUAGUAGGGAAGAAGCGAAAGUGACGGUACCUGCAGAAAAAGCACCGGCUAACUACGUGCCAGCCGCCGCGGUAA
RNAcentral lists this ribosomal RNA (484 nucleotides) under uncultured bacterium. Its description in RNAcentral is "partial 16S ribosomal RNA". It matches the Rfam family "Bacterial small subunit ribosomal RNA", at positions 28 to 523 of the family's 1533-position model. The record is from RNAcentral.